This 133-nucleotide ribosomal RNA is filed under the name uncultured bacterium. RNAcentral describes it as "partial 16S ribosomal RNA". It matches the Rfam family "Bacterial small subunit ribosomal RNA", at positions 1369 to 1501 of the family's 1533-position model. The record is from RNAcentral.
CGUUCCCGGGUCUUGUACACACCGCCCGUCACACCAUGGGAGCGGGUUUUACCAGAAGUAGGUAGCUUAACCGCAAGGAGGGCGCUUACCACGGUAGGAUUCGUGACUGGGGUGAAGUCGUAACAAGGUACCC